GACGAACGCUGGCGGCGUGCCUAAUACAUGCAAGUUGAACGCUAAAGCUUUAACUGGUGCUUGCACCGACCUAAGUUUUUAGAGUAGCGGACGGGUGAGUAACACGUGGGUAACCUGCCCAUCAGAGGGGGAUAACACUUGGAAACAGGUGCUAAUACCGCAUAAUUCCUUUUACCGCAUGGUAAAAGGCUGAAAGGCGCUUCUGGUGUCACUGAUGGAUGGACCCGCGGUGCAUUAGCAAGUCGGUGGGGUAACGGCCUACCGAGGCGAUGAUGCAUAGCCGACCUGAGAGGGUGAUCGGCCACAUUGGGACUGAGACAUGCAAACCUGACG
Molecule: ribosomal RNA, 333 nt
Filed under: uncultured bacterium
Lineage: Bacteria
Description: bacterial SSU rRNA
Rfam family: Bacterial small subunit ribosomal RNA
Source: RNAcentral